AGAUCACCACGGUAACUUCAAGCAACUCACUGUGCUUUGGUGUUGGACUACCUGAAUUUUUAAUUCAAGAUCGAAAGGUUUUUGGGCAUAGUUAAGUACUUGUGAAGUUGGUGCAUGAGUCAAGAUGGAAUUGACCACUCCAAAGGAUUGGAGAGAAUACUUUGUAUUUUAAUUUAGUAAGACCUUGGCCUGGACAGUCCUUGUG
RNAcentral lists this long non-coding RNA (205 nucleotides) under Elaeis guineensis (African oil palm). Its description in RNAcentral is "long non-coding RNA (EGUI_LNC063645)". Lineage: Eukaryota; Viridiplantae; Streptophyta; Magnoliopsida; Arecales; Arecaceae. The record is from RNAcentral.